UCCCCGAUUGAUUCUGUCGGCGGUUAUAUGCUUGUCUCAAAGGCUAAGCCAUGCAUGUCUAAGUUCAAAUAAACCUAUAAUGGUGAAACCGCGAACGGCUCAUUAUAACAGCUAUAAUGUACUUGAUGUUGAUUAUCCAACGUGGAUAACUGUGGCAAUUCUAGAGCUAAUACAUGCACCAAAGCUCCGAAUUUUAAACGAGCGCAUCUAUUAGAUUAAAACCAAUCGGAUUAUUAAUUUUAAUCCGUU
RNAcentral lists this non-coding RNA (249 nucleotides) under Brugia malayi. RNAcentral's name for it is "Eukaryotic small subunit ribosomal RNA". It matches the Rfam family "Eukaryotic small subunit ribosomal RNA", at positions 1 to 245 of the family's 1831-position model. The record is from RNAcentral. Lineage: Eukaryota; Metazoa; Nematoda; Chromadorea; Rhabditida; Onchocercidae.